ACGUAGGGUGCGAGCGUUAAUNGGAAUUACUGGGCGUAAAGCGGGCGCAGACGGUUACUUAANCAGGAUGUGAAAUCCCCGGGCUCGACCUGGGAACUGCGUUCUGAACUGGGUGACUAGAGUGUNUCAGAGGGAGGUAGAAUUCCACGUGUAGCAGUGAAAUGCGUAGAGAUGUGGAGGAAUACCGAUGGCGAAGGCAGCCUCCUGGGAUAACACUGACGUUCAUGCCCGAAAGCGUGGGUAGCAAACAGGAUUAGAUACCCUGGUAGUCCACGCCCUAAACGAUGUCGAUUAGCUGUUGGGCAGCAUGACUGCUUAGUAGCGAAGCUAACGCGUGAAAUCGACCGCCUGGGGAGUACGGUCGCAAGAUUAAAACUCAAAGGAAUUGACGGGGACCCGCACAAGCGGUGGAUGAUGUGGAUUAAUUCGAUGCAACGCGAAGAACCUUACCUGGUCUUGACAUGUGCGGAACCCUCCAGAGACGGAGGGGUGCCUUCGGGAGCCGUAACACAGGUGCUGCAUGGCUGUCGUCAGCUCGUGUCGUGAGAUGUUGGGUUAAGUCCCGCAACGAGCGCAACCCUUGUCAUUAGUUGCCAUCAUUAAGUUGGGCACUCUAAUGAGACUGCCGGUGACAAGCCGGAGGAAGGUGGGGAUGACGUCAAGUCCUCAUGGCCCUUAUGACCAGGGCUUCACACGUCAUACAAUGGUCGGUACAGAGGGUAGCCAAGCGCGAGGUGGAGCCAAUCUCACAAAACCGAUCGUAGUCCGGAUUGCACUCUGCAACUCGAGUGCAUGAAGUCGGAAUCGCUAGUAAUCGCAGGUCAGCAUACUGCGGUGAAUACGUUCCCGGGUCUUGUACACACCGCCC
This 868-nucleotide ribosomal RNA is filed under the name uncultured bacterium. RNAcentral describes it as "bacterial SSU rRNA". It matches the Rfam family "Bacterial small subunit ribosomal RNA", at positions 525 to 1395 of the family's 1533-position model. The record is from RNAcentral.